RNAcentral lists this ribosomal RNA (601 nucleotides) under uncultured bacterium. RNAcentral describes it as "bacterial SSU rRNA". It matches the Rfam family "Bacterial small subunit ribosomal RNA", at positions 202 to 803 of the family's 1533-position model. The record is from RNAcentral.
UAAAGGUAUUCCGGUAGACGAUGGGGAUGCGUUCCAUUAGAUAGUAGGCGGGGUAACGGCCCACCUAGUCUUCGAUGGAUAGGGGUUCUGAGAGGAAGGUCCCCCACAUUGGAACUGAGACACGGUCCAAACUCCUACGGGAGGCAGCAGUGAGGAAUAUUGGUCAAUGGGCGAGAGCCUGAACCAGCCAAGUAGCGUGAAGGAUGACUGCCCUAUGGGUUGUAAACUUCUUUUAUAAAGGAAUAAAGUCGGGUAUGGAUACCCGUUUGCAUGUACUUUAUGAAUAAGGAUCGGCUAACUCCGUGCCAGCAGCCGCGGUAAUACGGAGGAUCCGAGCGUUAUCCGGAUUUAUUGGGUUUAAAGGGAGCGUAGAUGGAUGUUUAAGUCAGUUGUGAAAGUUUGCGGCUCAACCGUAAAAUUGCAGUUGAUACUGGAUAUCUUGAGUGCAGUUGAGGCAGGCGGAAUUCGUGGUGUAGCGGUGAAAUGCUUAGAUAUCACGAAGAACUCCGAUUGCGAAGGCAGCCUGCUAAGCUGCAACUGACAUUGAGGCUCGAAAGUGUGGGUAUCAAACAGGAUUAGAUACCCUGGUAGUCCACACGGU